CGGAGGGGCUAGCGUUGUUCGGAAUUACUGGGGCGUAAAGCGCACGUAGGCGGCUUUGUAAGUUAGAGGUGAAAGCCCGGAGCUCAACUCCGGAAUUGCCUUUAAGACUGCAUCGCUCGAAUCAUGGAGAGGUGAGUGGAAUUCCGAGUGUAGAGGUGAAAUUCGUAGAUAUUCGGAAGAACACCAGUGGCGAAGGCGACUCACUGGACAUGUAUUGACGCUGAGGUGCGAAAGCGUGGGGGAGCAAACAGGAUU
Molecule: ribosomal RNA, 255 nt
Filed under: uncultured bacterium
Lineage: Bacteria
Description: partial 16S ribosomal RNA
Rfam family: Bacterial small subunit ribosomal RNA
Source: RNAcentral